UGGGGAAUAUUGCACAAUGGGGGAAACCCUGAUGCAGCAAUGCCGCGUGUGUGAAGAAGGCCUGCGGGUUGUAAAGCACUUUUAUCAGGAAAGAACCUGCCUGGGACUAAUAAGCCCAGGCACUGACGGUACCUGAGGAAUAAGCACCGGCUAACUCCGUGCCAGCAGCCGCGGUAAUACCGAGGGGGCAAGCGUUGUUCGGAAUUACUGGGCGUAAAGGGCGCGUAGGCGGCCUGCUAAGUCGAACGUGAAAUCCCUGGGCUCAACCCAGGAACUGCGUCCGAUACUGGUUGGCUUGAAUUCGGGAGAGGGAUGUGGAAUUCCAGGUGUAGCGGUGAAAUGCGUAGAUAUCUGGAGGAACACCGGUGGCGAAGGCGGCAUCCUGGACCGAUAUUGACGCUGAUGCGCGAAAGCCAGGGGAGCAA
RNAcentral lists this ribosomal RNA (425 nucleotides) under uncultured bacterium. RNAcentral describes it as "bacterial SSU rRNA". It matches the Rfam family "Bacterial small subunit ribosomal RNA", at positions 355 to 771 of the family's 1533-position model. The record is from RNAcentral.